AGAGGUUCAAUUCAUCAAAUCUUCAAUUUGUUGGAGUUCAUCAAAUCUUCAAUUCAGCAAAUUCGUUGCCGAGAGCUUCGAGUUCAAAUCGUAAUCAAUACCUAAGGUGUUAUCUGAUGGAUUCUUCAUCUUAUUACUAGUCGAGUUGACGAAUGGUGAAGGAUCUGUUAUUCCAAUUUGCAACGCUGAGUUGAGGCAUUAUGAAGGUCAAAAAUUUUCUUCACUUGAGGAGGGAAUUUCCUUUUAUGAAAAGUAUGCACAAGAAGCUUGUUUUGAUUGUCGAAGAUUUGGAAAUAGGUCUAGUGGUGGUGUUAUUACUUUUUCAGUAUGUUGUUUGCAACAGACAAGGUUU
This is a long non-coding RNA of Salvia splendens (bonfire salvia), 352 nucleotides long. RefSeq lists it as uncharacterized. NCBI's taxonomy places the organism in Eukaryota, Viridiplantae, Streptophyta, Magnoliopsida, Lamiales, Lamiaceae. The record is from RefSeq and is a predicted model, not a curated record. The transcript is spliced from 3 exons.